UUGAAACACCAGUUCUUGUAUUAUCACUGAAGUUAAGCAACUUGGAGCCUGGUUAGGACCUAGAUCGGUGACGACUUGGGAAUACCAAGUGUUGUAAU
Molecule: non-coding RNA, 98 nt
Organism: Acanthosepion pharaonis
Lineage: Eukaryota; Metazoa; Mollusca; Cephalopoda; Sepiida; Sepiidae
Source: the annotation of a GenBank genome assembly